Dendroctonus ponderosae (mountain pine beetle) is the source of this 317-nucleotide long non-coding RNA. RefSeq lists it as uncharacterized. The record is from RefSeq and is a predicted model, not a curated record. Lineage: Eukaryota; Metazoa; Arthropoda; Insecta; Coleoptera; Curculionidae. The transcript is spliced from 2 exons.
AAACUGCAUUCGACCGCCGACAUUGGCUACGAUUAGAAGUGCGAGCUAGUAACUAAUACUAACCUCCUUCGAUUUGUGACUGUAUUUGCACCAAUCCACCUGUUCUCCCUGUAAAUGUGUGAAAAUGACUGAUGUGUCCUAUAUGUGUGUAGCUGUGUUGUUCAUCCUGGGCCAGAUAUAACACCCAUAGCAAGCAAAAAGAAACAAGAAGACUGAAAAGAUACACCAAGCAAACAUAAACUAAAAAAAAAAAGAAAAAGAAAAAAAAAAAACACUAUAARAUUACUGUUAGUGAGUAAGACUUUAGAGGAUCAGGG